Molecule: long non-coding RNA, 259 nt
Organism: Lagenorhynchus albirostris (white-beaked dolphin)
Lineage: Eukaryota; Metazoa; Chordata; Mammalia; Artiodactyla; Delphinidae
Exons: 3
Source: RefSeq, a predicted model, not a curated record
GAUUCCCAGAAGUUGUGCAUGAGUUCCUGUGGAGAGAGUUGGCAUCGUGGAUAGCAAAGACGGUUAUGAUGCAGUCUUUUGAUACGAGGAUAACAGGAAGCGUCAAGACAAUCAUGCCCAUGAGAACUCUAAACCAUUCAGACCAUUUUAUCUUAGUGAAACUGGCAACUGAACUUUGCUCUAGUUGAUGGGCAAAAUUUCUCCUAGAAUAUUCAUCACCCCAAGUUCACCCUAGUUGAAAAUAUUCAAAUGCCGUAAG